Molecule: ribosomal RNA, 253 nt
Filed under: uncultured bacterium
Lineage: Bacteria
Description: partial 16S ribosomal RNA
Rfam family: Bacterial small subunit ribosomal RNA
Source: RNAcentral
UACGUAGGGCGCGAGCGUUGUCCGGAAUUAUUGGGCGUAAAGAGCUCGUAGGCGGCUGGUUGCGUCUGCUGUGAAAUCCCGGGGCUUAACCCCGGGCGUGCAGUGGAUACGGGCCGGCUGGAGGCAGGCAGGGGAGAAUGGAAUUCCCGGUGUAGCGGUGAAAUGCGCAGAUAUCGGGAGGAACACCAGUAGCGAAGGCGGCUCGCUGGGCCAUUCCUGACGCUGAGACGCGAAAGCUAGGGGAGCGAACAGG